This 502-nucleotide ribosomal RNA is filed under the name uncultured bacterium. Its description in RNAcentral is "partial 16S ribosomal RNA". It matches the Rfam family "Bacterial small subunit ribosomal RNA", at positions 28 to 507 of the family's 1533-position model. The record is from RNAcentral.
GAUUAACGCUGGCGGCGUGCCUAACACAUGCAAGUCGAGCGGCAGCGAGUUUUACACUGAAUUCUGGAAGCUUCUAGUUGAAAGAGAAGAGUUAUUCAAGAAUUUUGUGUAAAAUGUCGGCGAGCGGCGGACGGCUGAGUAACGCGUGGGAACGUACCCCAAAGUGAGGGAUAACGCAUCGAAAGGUGUGCUAAUACCGCAUAUGGUCUUCGGAUUAAAGCCUUCGGGCGCUUUGGGAACGGCCUGCGUAAGAUUAGAUAGUUGGUGGGGUAAUGGCCUACCAAGUCGACGAUCUUUAACGGGUUUGAGAGGAUGAUCAGUCAGACUGGAACUGAGACACGGUCCAGACUCCUACGGGAGGCAGCAGUGAGGAAUCUUCCACAAUGGGCGAAAGCCUGAUGGAGCAACGCCGCGUGCAGGAUGAAGGCCUUCGGGUUGUAAACUGCUUUUAUAAGUGAGGAUUAUGACAGUAACUUAUGAAUAAGGAUCGGCUAACUACGUG